UACGUAGGGUGCAAGCGUUGUCCGGAAUUAUUGGGCGUAAAGAGCUUGUAGGCGGUUUGUCGCGUCUGCUGUGAAAUCUCAAGGCUCAACCUUGAGCUUGCAGUGGGUACGGGCAGGCUAGAGUGUGGUAGGGGAGACUGGAAUUCCUGGUGUAGCGGUGAAAUGCGCAGAUAUCAGGAGGAACACCGAUGGCGAAGGCAGGUCUCUGGGCCACUACUGACGCUGAGAAGUGAAAGCAUGGGGAGCGAAAAGG
This 253-nucleotide ribosomal RNA is filed under the name uncultured bacterium. Its description in RNAcentral is "partial 16S ribosomal RNA". It matches the Rfam family "Bacterial small subunit ribosomal RNA", at positions 524 to 776 of the family's 1533-position model. The record is from RNAcentral.